Molecule: non-coding RNA, 2743 nt
Organism: Chlorocebus sabaeus (green monkey)
Lineage: Eukaryota; Metazoa; Chordata; Mammalia; Primates; Cercopithecidae
Source: RefSeq, a predicted model, not a curated record
CGCAGGCUACCCAGCCGCGGGGGGUGCACGGAGAAAAGGGGCGGGGUGGUCCGGGCUGCUGUGCUGGCAGCAGUAGGCGAGGGCGCGGCUGCGGGGUUCCUGGUGCUGAGGACGGACGCCAUUGGAGCCCCAGAGAAGGCUUUGCUCUCAUCUCCCUGGGACCCGCAGCAUGGCUGAGGGAAGCUUCGGCGUGCAAUCGGAAAGCUACAGUGUUGAAGACAUGGAUGAGGGUAGCGACGAAGUCCGGGAGGAAGAGAUGGUUGAAGGCAACGACUAUGAAGAAUUCGGUGCGUUUGGUGGCUACGGCACCCUCACCAGCUUUGACAUCCAUAUCCUCAGAGCCUUCGGAAGCUUGGGUCCAGGGCUUCGCAUCUUAUCGAAUGAGCCGUGGGAACUGGAAAACCCUGUGCUGGCCCAGACCCUGGUGGAGGCAUUGCAACUGGAUCCGGACACACUUGCCAAUGAGACCGCCGCCCGUGCUGCCAACGUAGCCCGCGCCGCCGCCUCCAACCGUGCGGCUCGGGCCGCUGCCGCCGCUGCCCGUACCGCCUUCACUCAGGUGGUCGCUAGCCACCGGGUGGCCACGCCGCAGGUCUCAGGAGAGGAUACCCAGCCCACGACCUACGCCGCCGAGGCUCAGGGGCCCACCCCUGAGCCACCCCUUGCUUCUCCGCAGACCUCCCAGAUGUUAGUCACCAGUGAGAUGGCUGCCCCCGGGGCCCCGGUAACCUCCACUAAGUCCCAGACAGGCUCCCCGGCCCAGGAGGCUGCUACCGAGGGCCCUAGUAGCGCCUGUGCUUUCUCUCAGGCUCCGUGUGCCAGGGAGGUGGACACCACCCGGCCCAGCACAGCCUUCCUGGGUCAGAAUGAUGUCUUUGAUUUCACUCAGCCAGCGGGGGUCAGUGGCAUGGCCUUCCCACGCCCCAAGAGACCUGCCCCAGCCCAAGAGGGGGCCACGGAGGGCUCCAGUGCUGCCUCCGGUGUGCCCCAGACUGGACCUGGCAGAGAGGUGGCAGCCACCCGGCCCAAGACCACCAAGUCAGGGAAGGCGCUGGCCAAGACUCGGUGGGUGGAGCCUCAGAACGUUGUGGCAGCAGCUGCUGCCAAGGCCAAGAUGGCCACGAGCAUCCCUGAGCCGGAGGGCGCAGCUGCUGCCACUGCUCAGCACAGUGCUGAGCCCUGGGCCAGGAUGGGAGGCAAGAGGACCAAGAAGUCCAAGCACCUGGAUGAUGAGUAUGAGAGCAGCGAGGAGGAGAGAGAGCCUCCUGCGGUCCCACCCACCUGGAGAGCAUCACAGCCCUCAUUGACGGUGCGGGCUCAGUUGGCCCCUCGGCGCCCGGUGGCCCCGAGGUCCCAGAUACCCUCAAGGCACGUACUGUGCCUGCCGCCCCGCAACGUGACGCUUCUGCAAGAGAGGGCAAAUAAGUUGGUAAAAUACCUGAUGAUUAAGGACUACAAGAAGAUCCCCAUCAAGCGUGCAGACAUGCUGAAGGAUGUCAUCAGAGAAUAUGAUGAACAUUUCCCUGAGAUCAUUGAACGAGCAACGUACACCCUGGAAAAGAAGUUUGGGAUCCACCUGAAGGAGAUCGACAAGGAAGAACACCUGUAUAUUCUUGUCUGCACACGGGACUCCUCAGCGCGCCUCCUUGGAAAAACCAAGGACACUCCCAGGCUGAGUCUCCUCUUGGUGAUUCUGGGCGUCAUCUUCAUGAAUGGCAACCGUGCCAGCGAGGCUGUCCUCUGGGAGGCACUACGCAAGAUGGGACUGCGCCCUGGGGUGAGGCACCCAUUCCUCGGCGAUCUGAGGAAGCUCAUCACAGAUGACUUUGUGAAGCAGAAGCCAGGGCCCACCCUCUCCCCGUCCCUGGAGGACUUGCCAACGCACAGGCGCGCAUGCACACCAACAAAGGGUCAGGACUUGAGGAGGAUGCCUGGAGCACGCUUCUCCUGGCUGACUGUUUCUUCCUUUCCAGUCGUUUCCUCUGGUACCUGGAAUACAAGAAGAUCCCUAACAGCAACCCACCUGAGUAUGAAUUCCUCUGGGGCCUGCGAGCCCGCCAUGAGACCAGCAAGAUGAGGGUCCUGAGAUUCAUCGCCCAGAAUCAGAACCGAGACCCCCGGGAAUGGAAGGCUCAUUUCUUGGAGGCUGUGGAUGAUGCUUUCAAGACAAUGGAUGUGGAUAUGGCCGAGGAACAUGCCAGGGCCCAGAUGAGGGCCCAGAUGAAUAUCGGGGACGAAGCUCUGAUUGGACGGUGGAGCUGGGAUGACAUACAAGUCGAGCUCCUGACCUGGGAUGAGGACGGAGAUUUUGGCGACGCCUGGGCCAGGAUCCCCUUUGCUUUCUGGGCCAGAUACCACCAGUACAUUCUGAAUAGCAACCGUGCCAACAGGAGGGCCACGUGGAGAGCUGGUGUCAGCAGUGGCACCAACGGAGGGGCCAGCACCAGCGUCCUAGAUGGCCCUAGCACCAGCUCCACCAUCCGGACCAGAAAUGCCGCCAGAGCUGGCGCCAGCUUCUUCUCUUGGAUCCAGCACCGUUGACGAACUGCAGCGAUCUGACUGGCCAAGCCAGAGUGCCUCCUCUCAGAUUCCUUCUCGACACAGCACCCUAGGCAGCUUCUUCCUGUCAGUCAGAGGUGGCAUGCAAGAUGAAGCUCUCUUUGCUCUUCCUGCUUUCAUUUUGUGCUUUUCCUUGCGCUUUCAUGUUUUGGGUAUCAGUGUUACAUUAAAGUUGCAAAAUUAA